GUGGGGAAUAUUCCGCAAUGGACGAAAGUCUGACGGAGCAACGCCGCGUGAGUGAUGAAGGUUUUCGGACUGUAAAGCUCUGUUGUUUGGGACGAAAGUGCCUGUUGCGAACAGUUACGGGUAUUGACGGUACUAAACGAGGAAGCCACGGCUAACUACGUGCCAGCAGCCGCGGUAAUACGUAGGUGGCAAGCGUUGUCCGGAAUUAUUGGGCGUAAAGAGCAUGUAGGCGGGAAUCUAAGUCUGUUGUUAAAAUGCGGGGCUCAACCCCGUAUUGAGAUGGAAACUGGGUUUCUUGAGUGCAGGAGAGGAAAGGGGAAUUCCCAGUGUAGCGGUGAAAUGCGUAGAUAUUAGGAGGAACACCAGUGGCGAAGGCGGCUUGCUGGACGACAACUGACGCUGAGGCGCGAAAGCGUGGGGAGCAAACAGGAUUAGAUACCCUUGUAGUCC
This 450-nucleotide ribosomal RNA is filed under the name uncultured bacterium. RNAcentral describes it as "partial 16S ribosomal RNA". It matches the Rfam family "Bacterial small subunit ribosomal RNA", at positions 354 to 796 of the family's 1533-position model. The record is from RNAcentral.